GAUGAACGCUGGCGGCGUGCCUAAUACAUGCAAGUCGAGCGAAUGGAUUAAGAGCUUGCUCUUAUGAAGUUAGCGGCGGACGGGUGAGUAACACGUGGGUAACCUGCCCAUAAGACUGGGAUAACUCCGGGAAACCGGGGCUAAUACCGGAUAACAUUUUGAACCGCAUGGUUCGAAAUUGAAAGGCGGCUUCGGCUGUCACUUAUGGAUGGACCCGCGUCGCAUUAGCUAGUUGGUGAGGUAACGGCUCACCAAGGCAACGAUGCGUAGCCGACCUGCGAGGGUGAUCGGCCACGCUGGGACUGAGACACGGCCCAGACUCCUACGGGAGGCAGCAGUAGGGAAUCUUCCGCAAUGGACGAAAGUCUGACGGAGCAACGCCGCGUGAGUGAUGAAGGCUUUCGGGUCGUAAAACUCUGUUGUUAGGGAAGAACAAGUGCUAGUUGAAUAAGUUGGCACCUUGACGGUACCUAACCAGAAAGCCACGGCUAACUACGUGCCAGCCGCCGCGGUAA
This 515-nucleotide ribosomal RNA is filed under the name uncultured bacterium. RNAcentral describes it as "partial 16S ribosomal RNA". It matches the Rfam family "Bacterial small subunit ribosomal RNA", at positions 28 to 523 of the family's 1533-position model. The record is from RNAcentral.